Long non-coding RNA from Salvia splendens (bonfire salvia), 1491 nucleotides. RefSeq lists it as uncharacterized. The record is from RefSeq and is a predicted model, not a curated record. The transcript is spliced from 3 exons. NCBI's taxonomy places the organism in Eukaryota, Viridiplantae, Streptophyta, Magnoliopsida, Lamiales, Lamiaceae.
GCUAAGCCGAUAUUAUUAGAAACUAUAUUAUUACCUUGAUUACCUAUAUAAGUGACUUUUAUGCGAUUAAAUCCGAGCUACGUUAAAUUGUCGUUGUCGAUAGGGAAGUGAAUAAAUAAAUAAGACCCCAAAAUUUAAAAUUUUAAUGUCCGAUACAUCCAACAAAAGUCCAACAAAAAUUUAAUUUAAUACAUCCUACGUUCUAAGCAAAUCGGAUACUUCAGCGCGGGCAGCCACGAGCUUGAACCGGGUUCUUUCCUACACCAAAUUAAACAAUAAAUAUACAAAUAAUAUAAUAAAGCAAAUUAAACAUAAAGAAAUGGAGUAGAUAAGAUUCGAUCCUGAAAGAUCAGAUUUUCGACAGCGGCAAUUAAUGCUGCAUUAAAUGAGAUGUCACAGUAAUCAUUUUUUUUUUCUCCGCCAAUUAAUUCUGCAUUAAAACCAUUCCUUCCCCCCCCCACUCCAUGAAUCUCUCCAUAUCUAUCAACCACCUCUCUAUAAUACUCUAUUCACAAAUCAGAUCUCACUUCUCUGCAAAUCUCCAAGAACUCACAAGAACAAGACCAAUUGUUCUCAACCUCUACUCAAUCGAACUCAAGAAAUCCAGAACUAAAAUCAGGGAAAGAUUCAUCAUCUAUUCUUUCACAAUCUGUCUGCAAAUUGAAGGGUGCUUUCGCAAGUAAAGUCGGAACGAAAGAUUCAAGUUAAGGAAUCUAAACGAUCAAGAUCUCACUUCUCUGCAAAUCUCCAAGAACUCACAAGAACAAGACCAAUUGUUCUCAACCUCUACUCAAUCGAACUCAAGAAAUCCAGAACUAAAAUCAGGGAAAGAUUCAUCAUCUAUUCUUUCACAAUCUGUCUGCAAAUUGAAGGUAUACAUAUCUCCCACCCAAUUUCAAUUUCAAUUUCAUACUACUGCAUUUAUACAUUACACUCUUCUGUUACCACAAUCUGCAAUAUACCUCCUAAUCGAAUUAAUCGAGGCAAACUGAAUUAAGGAAUCAAACUUUAAUUCACAAAAUUAAAAAUUAAGAACUCAUCUGGCGGGGUUGUUUCUGGGUGGAAUCGGGGCUGCCGGAGCGGCGACGCCAAACGAAGACGGCGGUGUACGCGGGGCGGCGAAUUGGAGCGGUAGCGGCUGAUCUGGGAGCAGCGGAGAAAAGAAGCACCGAAGUGCUGUAGGACAGAGAGAGAGAAUUGAAUUUGGGGAUCUUGUUCUUCCUUUUUGUGAGAGAAAUCGAGGGGGAAAGAGUGAAGAAAUGUGUGUGGUGUGUUCUUUGUUGAGUGUGCAAAGUUGGAGAAUUUGUGGAUGUGCUCUCUGGUUGGAGUUUUACAGUAGAGAGGGAGAGAGAGUCACGAUGGAAUUGGGGAAGGAAGUGCUUGAUUCUUUAUUAUUUAAUUUCUUAAUAUUUUGAAAAUAAAGAAUGGGAGUGUGAGUGUACGUGUACUUCAAUUCCUUUAUAAAAAAAUCCUCAAUAUUUUAAAAUGGAA